GGUCACGCUUCAAGAGAUAAGUAUCGAUUUUAUGUUCGAUUAAAAUCUAUAAUUAUGUGUUGUCUAUAUUACAUACAAGUGAUCCUAGCUAUUUACUUUCGCUAUUCCUUUAUUUGUUACAAUUGAAUUGAUGACUGGUUUAAUUUAGUUGUAUAGUGCAACGUUUCUGAUCAAUUAUGCAAACAAUGGGUUUUUGGAUUUUUAAAGUUUGCUGAUAGUUUGGAGGUCCAAUG
RNAcentral lists this long non-coding RNA (233 nucleotides) under Nicotiana benthamiana. RNAcentral describes it as "long non-coding RNA (NBEN_LNC009551)". Lineage: Eukaryota; Viridiplantae; Streptophyta; Magnoliopsida; Solanales; Solanaceae. The record is from RNAcentral.